ACAAUAUUGUACUGCGAAAGAAAAGAGAAAAAUUAGCCAAAGCAAAAGGAGAGAAGAUAGAUAGAUAGAUAGAUAUCUAUACAUAUAUAUAUAUAUUAGAGAGAUAUUUUUUCCUCACAUAUAUAUCGCUCCACUUGCUCGCUUUCUCUCUAUCUAGCUAGCCUCCGAUCGCGAAAUUAGGGUUUCUGCAUUCCUCUUCUGUUCUUCCCUUUUGAUUUAUCAUUGGUGUUUCAAGUUAGGCUGAGGAAAAGUAUGAUUGGAAACUUAUUUGGGGGUUUGAUUUGAUGGUGACGAAAAGUUACACAAGAAUUUUCUAAAACGAGUACAUUUUCAAGGAUUCGAGUAAAUCUGGUUCAAGAGGUGUGGGGUAAUUUGCAAUAAUCCUUAGAAAGGAGCAAAAAGCAAAUUGACAUUUUUGGUAUUGUUUGACUAUGCCAACUUCAUGGGCUGAUUCAGUUGCAGCUGAGAAUUCGGCUGCUGGUGGUGCUGUUGGUUCUGCAAAUAAUGGGGGUGUGGGAAGUAAUUCUGUUUCAGGCAGGUCAGCAUAUGUGCCACCCCAUUUGAGGAAUAGGCCUGCUCCUUCAUCAACGCCAUCUGCUCCAGCUGCUUCUUAUGCUGGCUCUGUUUCUACAGCAAAUGAUCGUAUUGGGGGCCAAGUUGACUCUUUUCAAGGUGGAGGGAAUCGUUGGGGUGGUCCUAGGCUUGGUGGUGGUGGUAGCGCAGCAGUGGUGCCAGUGUUGGUGGUCGUGGAGGUAGUGGUUGGAACACCAGAGGUGGUGGUUGGGGCCGUGGCAGGGAGCGGGAGGUCAACCCUUUUGGAGAUGAUGAUAGUACCGAAGAAAUGUUUCAACAGGAGAAUACAGGAAUUAAUUUUGAUGCGUAUGAAGAUAUUCCAGUGGAGACCAGUGGGGAAAACGUGCCUCCUCCUGUGAAUACUUUUGCAGAGAUUGAUUUGGGUGAUGCCUUGAAUCAAAAUAUUAGAAGGUGCAAAUAUGUGAAGCCUACACCUGUUCAGCGCUAUGCAAUUCCAAUCUCACUAGCGGGGAGAGAUUUGAUGGCUUGUGCACAAACUGGGUCAGGCAAGACUGCAGCUUUCUGCUUCCCCAUAAUUAGUGGUAUAAUGAGAGGGCAGCAUGGGCAGAGACCGCCACGUGUGCCACGUAUGGCAUUUCCACUUGCUCUUAUUCUUUCUCCAACGAGGGAGCUCUCUUGCCAAAUCCAUGAUGAAGCUAAAAAAUUUGCAUAUCAAACUGGUGUGAGAGUGGUGGUUGCUUAUGGUGGUGCGCCUAUUAACCAACAGCUUCGAGAUCUUGAGAGAGGUGUGGAUAUACUUGUUGCAACUCCAGGACGGUUGGUGGAUUUAUUAGAAAGAGCAAGAGUCUCAUUACAAUUAAUUAGGUACUUAGCUCUGGAUGAGGCUGAUCGAAUGUUGGAUAUGGGUUUCGAACCUCAAAUAAGGAGAAUUGUGGAACAGAUGGACAUGCCUCCUCCUGGUGUAAGGCAAACAAUGCUUUUCAGUGCUACCUUUCCCAAAGAAAUACAGCGGCUGGCUGCAGAUUUCUUGUCCAGUUAUGUAUUUUUGGCUGUUGGAAGAGUUGGGUCAAGUACUGAUUUGAUUGUCCAGAGAGUUGAAUAUGUUCACGAGUCUGACAAGAGAAGCCAUCUUAUGGAUCUGCUUCAUGCGCAGAGGGCAAAUGGUGUUCAUGGCAAGCAAGCUCUUACAUUGGUUUUUGUGGAGACGAAAAAGGGAGCUGAUGCUCUGGAACAUUGGCUGUGUGUGAAUAGUUUCCCUGCUACUGCUAUUCAUGGUGACAGAACACAGCAGGAGCGAGAACAGGCCCUGAGGUCAUUUAAAAGUGGCAACACUCCAAUCUUGGUUGCAACAGACGUGGCUGCACGUGGUCUUGAUAUUCCCCAUGUUGCACAUGUAGUUAACUUCGAUCUUCCAAAUGACAUUGAUGAUUACGUACACCGCAUAGGACGAACAGGGAGAGCAGGGAAAACUGGGUUAGCCACUGCCUUCUUCAAUGAGAAUAAUACGUCUUUGGCAGGUCAUUGUCCGAUCUGAUGCAGGAAGCAAAUCAAGAGUACCUGCUUGGCUCUCGCGCUUUGCAGUUCGUUCUGCCAUGGUAAAAGUCGCCGCGGGGGAGGUCGGUUUGGUAGUCGUGAUUUUAGGAGAGAAUCCUCUUUAACCAGAGGGGUAACAGACUACUAUGGUGGAGGCAACCUCAGCAGUGGCUAUGGUGCUCCUGGCGGGUAUGCUGGGUCAUAUGGCCCUGGAGUAACUAGUGCAUGGGACUGAAUAUCUCUGUUUUAUCCCUUAAUGGUUGCUUGAAAUAUGCAUCUACAUUUAAGUUAGGAGACAUCAUCAGUCGAGUAUAUUUAUUUGGCUUUUACUUUGCUCUUCUUUAGUUAGUUUUGACCUUUUUCAGUUUGCACUCAAUCUGUUGACUGUAUGGGUGGGGGUUCGUGUGCUACGGGCACGGCGAACAUAGGUGCGUGACUGUUGCAGUUGAUGGUGAAUGACUACUAACAGAUUAGGUUUAAAUUGUACUCUUUCAUUUCUCCCUUUCAUUUUCCUGCUUCAUUAUUCGUGUUGAGUUGGAGUACAUUGGGGGAGGCCAGAGAUAUGCGGUUUGCUUCGAGCUGCUUAAUACCUCUGAUGGGUAUAUUCUUUUCGACCUAAUUUGUUGGUUGUAAAAUUCUGCUGCACAAAUCCAAUCGGCCAUUGUGUGAAAAGGAGAAUUUUGUUCCAUUAAUGUUGUAAUUUUAUAAAGUUUAGUAUCAUUAUCUUUUGUAUACAUCAAGCUGAAUUUUCAUGUAUGGGAAGAAGAUGUUUUUAACA
Coffea arabica (coffee) is the source of this 2845-nucleotide non-coding RNA. NCBI's taxonomy places the organism in Eukaryota, Viridiplantae, Streptophyta, Magnoliopsida, Gentianales, Rubiaceae. The record is from RefSeq and is a predicted model, not a curated record.